This 64-nucleotide transfer RNA is filed under the name Modiolus metcalfei. Its description in RNAcentral is "tRNA-Tyr". The record is from RNAcentral. RNAcentral also lists the same sequence under 1 other name. Lineage: Eukaryota; Metazoa; Mollusca; Bivalvia; Mytilida; Modiolidae.
CUCAGAAUGGCUGAAGAUAAGCGGAGGGUUGUAAACCCUUAUAUGAACGUUUGUUCUUCUGUGA